Candoia aspera is the source of this 558-nucleotide long non-coding RNA. RefSeq lists it as uncharacterized. NCBI's taxonomy places the organism in Eukaryota, Metazoa, Chordata, Lepidosauria, Squamata, Candoiidae. The record is from RefSeq and is a predicted model, not a curated record. The transcript is spliced from 2 exons.
GUAAGAAUACUGUAUACUACUGAGUGUUCUACGUGCUGAGGCUGCUUCUAGCCCUAGGAGUCUAUGAAGAGUCUUGACAUUCUUCAUUGUCAAGACUAUGCUUCAGCUCAAUUCCACUGGAGCUGGAAUCAUGUUAUCAGAUAUUCUACCAGAUGUUUGCAGGGCUUGUCAUAUAAAUGAAACAGCUUUGACUAUGGUCAGGCUUCCUCCAAGUCUUCAGUGAUGACAGCAAAGUUGUUUUCUUCUUUGCCAUUAAAGAUAAUCAGAAGAACUUUUUAUGCCCCAAAGCUCUAAGUCCAACAACAAGAACAACAUACCAAUUUUGAAAAGUAGAGAUGUGGCAACUGCCGUGCCAAGAUUUGCAGAAACAGUCAUGGAAUGACUCCACAGCAGUUCUGGAAUAGAUGGAGUGCCAUGUUCCCACAGGCAGAAACUUAGGACUCUGUCCAUCUGGCUGUUGCAUUCUCUGGAAUAUUGCCUUGAUUCUCCAACAAGGUCACAACAUGUGUCCAUUCUGAAGUUAAUUUUAAUGUCAGAUAAAUCAUUCAGUGCCUAAAA